This 235-nucleotide ribosomal RNA is filed under the name uncultured Mollicutes bacterium. RNAcentral describes it as "partial 16S ribosomal RNA". It matches the Rfam family "Bacterial small subunit ribosomal RNA", at positions 796 to 1041 of the family's 1533-position model. The record is from RNAcentral. Lineage: Bacteria; Bacillati; Mycoplasmatota; Mollicutes.
CACGCCGUAAACGAUGAGUACUAAGUGUCGGGAUAACCCGGUGCUGCAGUUAACGCAUUAAGUACUCCGCCUGAGUAGUACGUGCGCAAGCAUAAAACUCAAAGGAAUUGGCGGGACCUCGCACAAGCGGUGGAUCAUGUUGUUUAAUUCGACGAGACGCGAAGAACCUUACCAGGCCUUGACAUACCGAGCAAUGCUAUGGAGACAUAGUGGAGGGUAGCUGGGAUACAGGUGG